RNAcentral lists this long non-coding RNA (2959 nucleotides) under Nicotiana tabacum (common tobacco). RNAcentral's name for it is "long non-coding RNA (NTAB_LNC010674)". The record is from RNAcentral. Lineage: Eukaryota; Viridiplantae; Streptophyta; Magnoliopsida; Solanales; Solanaceae.
UCUGAUCAAGCAUAAACAUUAAAUGGGCCCUUAACUUUAAUUCUUUAAAUUAACGAGAAACUGUAUUGAUUCCAUGCUUCAUAGUCUGAUACUGAACCUAUUUACAUAAAUUGUAGGUUUCUUUAAAAGGUAAAAAUCACACGUAGAUUACUUUUGUCUGUCCCAAUCUUCGCUGCAAAGAAACGUAAAAGUAUGGGUUAAUUUUAUAUAAUCAGAAACACCAAAUCUCCAUGUGUACAUGCUCAUGUAAAUACCAAAGUUUAGCCUGGUUAUGCACAUACAAGCUUAUUUUUGUGAAUAAAUAUGUCGACUGUAAGCUGACACAGUCCCUUUUGAAUGGAAAUCCAGUUAAGGCCCAAUGAUUUGAGGGCUUAUUUGCCCUUGACAUAUUAAUUGAAAUGAUGAUACCUCAGCAUGCUAGUUAGUUCAGGCCUUUUCUUUAUUUUGAGACAAGAAUAAACAGAAAAAUCAUAGUCUUUUAGGAUUUGGCCUUAAAUAAAGAUGAGAUGAGCCUCGCCAAAUAGUUACAAAUCGCGGGGCCCUCAAUAAACGUAUACAAUAAUUGGUUGGACUUCGGAGUUGGCCGUUUAGUGAAUUUUCACGACCUCUUCCUAAAAUAACAAUACGUUAGUCUUUUUAGGACGCGCCUUAAUUAAUCUUACCUUCUUAAAUACGGGUGUACAUUUAUGUAACCCAAAUUCAAAUCCCAACGAAGUCGAAAUGCGUCGACCAAUCACGGGUACAUCGAUUGUGACGUGGUUCGAAAUGCAUUUCCAUGACGUUGCAAUUCUUUUGAAACAAUAAAAACAAAUGAGACGAGCCUCGCCAAAAAAUGCACAAGCUGUCGGGCCCUCUAUACGUGUUUGUAAAGUUUGCUUAGACUGCGGGGACGGGCCGUUUAGCAAAGUUUCACGGCCUUGCCCAAAAUAACGAUACGCCAAUCGCUUAGAGUGCGUCUUUUAAUAAAAUUACUUCCCUAAGUAUGGGUGCGCAUUUAUGUGACCCAAAUCCAAAUCUCAACGGAGUCGAAACGUAUUAACAACCACGGGUGCAUUGAUUGUGACGUGGUUCGAGAUGCAUUUUCACGACGUUGCAAUUCUAUUAAAAAAUAAUAAUAAAAGCGGUUAAACUUAAUAAGAGCACACAAGUCAUAACAUGUAUAAAAAUCAGAUAUUUAGCCACUACAACAAUUUAAGCGACCGUGCUAGAACCACGGGAUUCGGGGGUGCCUAACAUCUUCCCUCGGGUCAACAGAAUUCCUUACUUAGAAUUUCUGGUUCGCAGACUUCAUUUGGAAAGUCGAAUAUUUUCCUCGAAUUGGGAUUCAAGAUAAACCGGUGACUUGGGACACCAAAAGCCAAACCUUUCCCAAGUGGCGACUCUGAAUUAAAUAAAUAAUCCCAUUUCGAAUAUUGUCACUUAAAUUAGAAAAACUCCCUCACACAUUUAUCCUUCGGGGUAGGCGCGCAAAAAGGAGGUGUGACAGACAUGAUAAAUCUUAUAGUCAUUGUAACUAAAUGUUGAAAAGAAUGCUUCGUUAAAGUUCCUUACUAAGUAACAGGGUCAAUUAACUUAGACAUACGUCUAAUUACUUUUCCAGUCAUCAUGUUUUCUACGACAUUCUAAUUCUAAUUACUUAGAAUUACCUCUAAGAUGUGUUUAGAAGAGGUGCUCAAAUGGCUUGGGAUGAGCAUAAAGAACACAGAGGUGACAGGGAUAUGGAGAAGGAUGACCAGAAUAGCAAAAGGAAAAAUAGGAAGAUCUUCCACACAGGCAGUAUUGGCAGCAGUCAUUUAUCAUAUCUGGGAAGCCAGAAAUGAAGCAGUCUGGAUGCAGAGAGUCCCAAGACCUCGAACUGUACUGGAGCAAAUAAAAUACACAUGUAAACAUAGAUGUUUGGAAGUUGUAUAGAAGAAGAAGUCAUAGAAAGAAAUGAGCUGGAUUGAGAAACUAUAUAGAUAGGUCACAGGAAAUAGACACACAAAAUGUAUAGAAAUAUAUGGAUAGGAAACAAAUGAAGGCAACGGUGAUAUAGCAAGAUAGAAGUGGUAUAGGAAUGGCAUGAAGGAUAGGAGAAAGAAUAAUGAGAACGUUGUAUGUGUUUGGUUUGGGAUGAUUGAAUAAUAAGAUUUAUUUUACACCAAAAAAAACGUACUAAUUAAAGCAAAGACCUAAUACCAAUAAGCUUAUUUAUUCACAUAACCAAUUAGUUUGACUUCUUAUUUUAUUUCAAUCUUUAUGCAAACAGACCACAUAACUUAAUAAUUUUACACAAAAUAAUCUUGAUCAAGAUUUCUAUAGCAGUUAACUACGUUUUCGAGCAAAUAGACAAACAUUCCAGAUCUUCAAAGAAGAAAGAGAAUAAAGAUUUCAAAAUUACUAACCUUUUGUGGUGCAAGACAGGGGCGGAUGCAAUGCAUUAUAUACGGGUUCAAUUGAACCCAUAAUUUUUUAUGCGGAGUAAAAAUUUAUAUGUAAAAAUUCAUUAAAAUCAUAAAUAUAGUAGAUAUGAACCCAUAACUUUAAAAAUAUAAUGGGGCUAAUGAUAAAAUCUUUAAAAGUUGAACCCAUUGAAUUUAAAUCUUGGAUCCGCCUCUGGUGCAAGAGCCUGGGUCGCGUCAAGGUCUGCUAUCUCGGCCUCUACUUUGCAACCUCGACCGAUCGUCAAACUCCGAAACGAGCACGCCGCCGCCUCUAUUACAUUUAAACAAAACCAGUAGAGGGUGACCAAAACGAGCCCUUAAAGUGUGGUUCUAAUGAGUAAAAAUGAGAGAAGAAUGGCAAGGACAAGAGUCUAAAAGUGGCGAGUAAAAAAGGUGCUGAAAAUCUCUAUCAAGUUUGGUAUUUAUAAAAAAAAAUAAAAAAAAGUUUGGUAUUUAUAGGAGAUGAAUUAAGGCUCUUCUAAGAUUAGUUUGGGGUGACAUUUUAAUGUUUAAAAUCGGGUCAAAGGACGUUUGAA